AGAGUUUGAUCAUGGCUCAGAUUGAACGUUGGCGGCAGGUUUCAUACAUGCAAGUCGAACGAGUAAUCGCCCUUCGGGGUGUGCGCUAGUGGCGGACGGGUGAGUAACGCGUAGGAAUCUACCUAGUAGUGGGGAAUAACGUCAGGAGACUGAUGCUAAUACCGCAUACUACCUAAGGGUGAAAGCGGGGGAUCUUUUGACCUCGCGCUAUUAGAGGAGCCUGCGUUAGAUUAGCUUGUUGGUGAGGUAAUGGCUCACCAAGGCGACGAUCUAUAGCUGGUCUGAGAGGAUGAUCAGCCACACUGGAACUGAGACACGGUCCAGACUUCUAAGGAAGGCAGCAGUAGAGAAUAUUGCACAAUAGGGGAAACCCAGAUGUAGGCAUGCCGCGUGUGUGAUUGAAGGCCCUUUGGGUUGUAAAGCACUUUCGAUGGUGAAGAGAGCUGGCGCGCUAAUACCGCGAUCCAGUUAGACGUUAACCAUUAAAGAAGCACCGGCUAACUUCGUGCCAGCAGCCGCGGUAUAC
This 526-nucleotide ribosomal RNA is filed under the name uncultured Gammaproteobacteria bacterium. RNAcentral's name for it is "bacterial SSU rRNA". It matches the Rfam family "Bacterial small subunit ribosomal RNA", at positions 8 to 526 of the family's 1533-position model. Lineage: Bacteria; Pseudomonadati; Pseudomonadota; Gammaproteobacteria. The record is from RNAcentral.